This is a long non-coding RNA of Ailuropoda melanoleuca (giant panda), 1163 nucleotides long. RefSeq lists it as uncharacterized. The transcript has 3 exons. Lineage: Eukaryota; Metazoa; Chordata; Mammalia; Carnivora; Ursidae. The record is from RefSeq and is a predicted model, not a curated record.
GUUGGGUAUGUGGUAACUGACUCAAUAGAUCAAAGAAAACUGAAUUUUAUGCUUGAAGAGAGGGAAUGUUGACAGGCAACAAGACAAUGUGUGCAGAAGAAACCCAGACUGAGUUAAGAAUUCAAGGUUCCUAGUAUCUCUGAAGGUAAGAGUGAAGGGUGGAACUGAGCAAAGGAAUCCCACAAAAAGACUGGAUCAGGGGUGGUCAGACCCCCAAGUGUCUUACUGCGAUCACUAGGUGAGUACUUUUAGCCCACCCGAAGAAGGUAAGACAGUAACCGGUUUUGAAGAAAUUGAAUCUGAGAAACUCUGCAUUCCAGGGACAUGAAGCCCAGCUGACAGAUUAAAUGACAGACUACACAACCAACUCUGGGACCCCUCCAACCCUGGCAGGAGGGUUACCAUCCCCGCCUCACACCAGAUAAGACACUGGAGAAAACUAUCCCAUCCAAGAGAAAGACCCACUCAUGCGGUUGAGUCCAGCUGGUACCCACAGUAUUCUGAGUACAUUUUGAGUGUCUGGGUACCUUCUCUGGUUGAAUGAUGCCCAUGACACAUCAACUGCUGAAUACUUUUAAUACUACUUUUGGAUCCCCCAGUAAAUAAUUGGUUCUACUCUAAGUUAUCAGGAAGUCUGACAGUCAAGAAAACCCAGCCUCUUGCACAGAAUGGUCAAUCAACUAUUUAGAGCCUCUUUCUUAAAUAUGACCAGCCAGCCACGGGUCACCAGCUAUUGGAAGGAAGACCCCAACAUGAAUAGCAAAGACAAAAAGAUUAUAAUAAAUAAAUGGAACUUGGAAGAAGCAAAGGGAAUUCAGGGGGCAGAAGAAAACUUCAAAAAGUUAUACUUUUAGAGAAAUAUAAAAAGAUUUUUGUAGCUACGAGUGAAACAAGAUCAGGAUGCUAUUCUUUUUUAAAAGAAACAUCAGAAAUAUAAGAAAGGAUUCUUUCUUCAUGAACAGAAAAAUUGUCCUUCACCUUUGGACGGGAGACAAGUUUAUGCUGAAAUCCCCUGAUAUUACAUGAAAAGGUGAAGCAUGGUGGAACACAGCCAUGACUAGAGGGAAAGGUGACGGAGACGCUGACCACCCGCACCGCCCCCACCCCUGCUCUGCCUUCUCCCUGAACUGGUCUGAGUGAUAAAUCCGUGCCCCAACUGUGGC